CCCUGCUCACACUGUGUGUCUCUCUCUCUCUCAAAAAUAACUAAACAUUUAAAAAAAUAAUUUAAAAAAAUAAAAAAGGGACUUGAAAAAAAAAAAAGCUCUCACUGUCGAGGGCUCAGUCUUCAGGAGCAGGGCUCUGAGCAUUGCACAUCCGUGUGGCAUUUAGUCCUUAUAACCAUCAGAUGGCUGACGUGUCCAAGGCCAACCAGCUGGUCAUUGAAGAGCCACAAGUGACUCUGGAGCACCCGCUCUUGGCCACCUCUCUGCCCCAGCUGAGUGUGGAAAUGAUGAUGAUGCCCUCCCCUGCCUGGGUGGUUAUGAGCAGUAAAUGGGCCUGGGUGGAAAGGUCCUUUGGAGAGGCUUCCAGAGAAGCUAUUAUUUGAUGGCGUGGAAGAGGAGGAAGUUGCUGUGUAAAGGGUAUGCGUGGAAGGCUCUUGGAAAGAGGAGCUCAGUUUAAACUCAAGGCAGUCACCGUUCUCAGGCCUGUGAGAACCAAGCAUGUGGAUUGUGGGGGUGCCAGGCUCUGGCCUCUUACCCUGGCGCUCCGGGGUCCUGGGGGCAGGCCGGGGCCAUCCCCACCCAUCCCCUGCACUCCUGGCCGGGAGCCCAGUCCUCGUGGCCUCUCCGGCCUGGCAGUGAGGCGGAGCGUAACGAAACCCUGGUGGCUUCCCCUGAUUUUUCCCGCUGAGGAUGGAGUGCAGAGCAGACCCGGAGGGGUCUAGAGCCACGUUAGCGGCCAUUCAAGGCUUUCAGUUGUGCCGGGUCACUCGUUAGCUGCAUGGCCUUGGACAAAUGGAAAAUGGAAUUUCCAAAAUGAGGAUUCAAAUACCGACCGCGCAGGGUUGUUGUAGGAUUACAUGAGAUAAUGUGCGUAAGGUGACUCAGAUGCAGUAAACCUUGCAUAAUGAUUAAUGCUAUCAUUAGGCAGCCGUCCUUCCUUAUUACAACAUGAGGGACAGGGACCCAGACGAGGGAUGGGGACCCAGAGAUUAGAAGCAAGUCAUUCAAGGCCUCGCAGCCAGUUCGCGGCAGGUCUGGGCUUCCUCUGCAAUCAUCUCCACCCCUGCCUUGGUCAAGCCUUUUCUGAGAAUCCCUCACCCAGGGGUGAAUUGACAGGGGUGCAUUUCACACCUGAACGAUGCCCCCUCGCUCGCUCGCUCGCUUGGGCCAUGGGAUUACAAAGCUGCAGGCUGUUACUGUUUCCCAGCUCUGCCACUGAUUUGCAAACCGGGGUGAUUUGGUUGAGCUCCUCUGGACUGAGGCUCUACCCGGCUUCCUGGGAGACGGGCCUCCUGUGGGAGACAGCUGGGCUCCAAGGGAUCAGCACAUCUCUCUCUCUCUCUCUCUCUCCCUCUCUCUCCCUCUCCCUCCCCUUCCUUGAGUGAGUUUAGCAUUCCAGAGCCCCCAGCCUGCAGCCGGAAUCAGUAUCCAGAUACCACCCACUCCCAGCUCUCCCGAAUGGACCCGGACUCAUCAACAUUUCUCUGACUUGGUGACACUUAGCCCCGCCUCUGAAAAGUGCAGCCUGGGAUACAGAUCUUCUGUCCAGUUAAAGUGACUUAAAAGUAAUUCUUUUUGGAAAUCUUCACAGCCAUUCCAGAGAUCAUGACGGACACCUCGGCCCCGCGAAACAGAGCUGAGGAGUUCUGGCUCCCAUAAAGCUGUCUCUGACACCCCAAAGCCAGGCAUUGACUGACUAACAGUCUUUGCCCCCCGGGGCAAACCUUCCUGCUGGUGCCUCCGCCCCUCUGGAACCCCCGCUUCCUCCUUGUCCUCCUCCCACCCGGGAGGCCAUGGCUACUGUCCUUCCCCACUCCCCAGAGCCAGCUCUCCUUUGGCGUCCCUUUGCCCUGCUCCCAGAGCCACCCCAGGAGCAGGGGUGAGGUUAGAGACACGGUAGCAUGGGACCCUGAAGGGGCCCUCUGCCUGCCAAGCCCAGCUGGGGCAUCCAUGGAGAGUCCACACGAAUGACCCCCAGCACUUAAGCAGCGGGCCUCCAAUGCUCCAGCUGUUCCAAACACUUACCAGAUGGUAAUCUAUCAUAGCAGAUACUAUCAUUACUCCCCUUUAGAGAUGGGGAGAUUGAGACCCAGAGAGGCGAAGUAACUUGUCCAAUGCCACACAGCUUGAAACUGGCAGAUUUGAGAUUUGAGCCCAUCAUCUGGGCCAGUGUGCCACUGGAACACCGGAGACGGCCACUCCCUUACUUAAUUCCACUCACCCGUCACCUCUUCCCUUGGCCACUGACAGGUGCCUUCUGUCAUGUCUACAGCCACAUCCUCGGGACACGGCUGUGUUCUCGCUGCAAGAAAGGACAAGUGCCCGGGGCGGAGGGCCCCAGGUUGAAGCCCCUCUGCCUGCUUUCCCUGCCCCGCGGGCCCAGUCUCCUCCCCACCUGGGAACCCUUCAGGGAUGCUAUGAUCUGAACGUUUGUGUCCCCCCGCCAAAUUCAUGUGUUGAAAGCUAACCCCCAAGGUGAUGGCAUUAGGAACUGGGGCCUUUCGGAGGUGAUUAGGUCAUACACGGGCUUAGCGCCUUUAUAAAAAUGGCCCCAGAGAGAUCCCUCGCCCCGCUUCUAGCAUGUGAAGACACAACAAGAAAUCAGCAGCCUGCAACCCAGAGGACCCUCAGCCGGCCAUACUGCCACCCUGACCUUGGACUUCCAGCCUCCAGCCUCCAGAAAUGUGACAAAUAAAUUCUCGGGUUUAUAAGCCACUGACCUGGUCUGUGCCAUUUUGUUAUAGUGGCCCCAAAGGACUAAGAGUAGUGGCUUAGUGUGGCCACCUCGCUGCCAGGACGAUCUGAGGCAGCGGGUCUGGGGGCAGGUCUGGAAGCACUCUCAGCUCGGAGGGGCCGCCUGAGACCGUGGCCUGCAAACCUGCACCUGCUUCCGGGCUGAGGAUGUGAAUGGGACACCCAGAAGUGGGGGGCGGGAGGGGGUGAGGGAAGGAAUUGCCUCCAGCGCCGGCCCUACCUGUCAUCUUCUCUGCAUCAGCUGCUCUAGGAGCAGACCCUGCCCAGCCCCCUGCCACCUUCUCCUUGCCUUGUCUCCUCCAGCCCGGACCCUCUCUUCCAUCAACACACACAGCCUUGGUUCACUUCCAUCCAAUGAGGAAAUGCCCACGACACCGCUCGGCACAGGGCCCGGCAGGAAACUCUUUCUCCUCCUUCAGAACUCAACAGAGGUGUCGCUUCAGGCGGUGAGGGGCCCCCACCCCGGCUGCCACAGUGCUCUGCUCACGCUUCUCAGAAAACUUUCCUAGAGGUUCUGAUGCUGUGGGUUUGUUUGGUGUCUCUAGGCCCAGCUCCAAAGGGUGCACAGGUGUUCAGUAAGCAUUGAUUGAUUGAAGGAAUGAGUGGGAGCAGUUCCCAGGACUCCUAGAAGAACAUGGGCCAGGCUGGGCCAAGCUUGGGUUUCCCUUCCUACCUCUCCAGGCUAGCGAUACUUACCUCCAGGAGAAAACCAAAAGACAAGCAGGAGGUGGGUGCCCACAGAGGAUGGUGGGAGUGGGAAGGUACCACCCUCUAUUCAUCAACUGAACACAAUCCCGGGAGACUUUCUGGAGGAGGGCGAUGGUCUGGUGUCUCCUAACCCUCGGGGAACCAUGGCAGACAAUUUUGUAGCUUGGGGUAUCCCAUGGACAGUCCUGGGGUGCUAGUGCCGAAUCUCUCUACCUCCAAUUCCACAUUCCAGGUUCCAGGUACUCAGGUGUCUCAAGAGAGCUCUUCCUCAAUAUGAAAAAUCUAGGCCAGCUGCAAAGAAGAGAUGGUAGAUGUCUCUGCCAGCUGUCUCCUGGACAUUGGCAGGUGGCCAACACUCACAACCCAGGCAGGGCUUGCCUUGACCUGGCCUGACAAUUCAUUCUGGUCACUGUGGCAAAGGGAAUAGCUACCCAGGAGGCUUAGGCAGGUCUGUGGCUAGCUGCCCAAAUCAAUGGGAAUGCCCCAGUUACCUCUCAGGGAGGGCAAACAAUGAUGGCCUCAACACACUCAGCCCUCAGAUCAGAGAUCCAGAAGAACUUCCCAUGUCAGACCUUGCAAUGGUUCGGGGGCUACUAUACUCACCCACAGCCCUGCUUCUUGACCCCUUCUCUCUACUCCAUCCUAGUCUGACAUGGAUUAGAUAGUAGAGACACUCAGCAAAAACUCUGUCUUGAUCCAAUAUGGCGCUCAGCGUGGGGAAUCUGGGGUCCAAAUAGGAGCUGGAUAAUUCCCAUGUCUGCAUAGGCUCUUGGUGUGAAGAAGUGUCAAUAUCACGGAGUCCAUUCUUCCUACUUGGUAUUCUAAGGGUUGAGUUUCCUAUAUAACAUUUCCAGAGCAGAGUGGUUACUCAGUCUUUGCGUGAACUCCUCCAGUGAUAGGGACCUUACCACCUUACAAAGCAGCUAGUUUCAUCCCCCGGCAGUUCUCAUUGCUGGAGAGUUCACCUUUACAUGAUCCUUCCUUACACCGUGUUGCAUCUGUUUCCUGCUCUCUCCGUCUAUGGUCCCCACAGAAGAUGGCCAUUCCCUGUCCUUCAUGGCUUUUCAGAGAUUUGAAGGUAGCUACUGGGUCACUUCCUCUAAGAAAGAACAUCAUGGGGAUUAACAGGAGGAAAAUCCAGUCCUUUCAGACCUCAGGGAGGGUUUGCCCUGCUACAGAGAAACUGCUUUUCUAUCCUUCUCUAUGGGCCUGUGCACGGGCCCAGGGCAACAAUAUGGUGAGUCUCUAGGCUCUUUGGACUACAGACACAUAGCAAGCACAUAGCCUUGCUAGGUGGGAGAACCUCAGCCUACUGUCUUUGUCCCAGGGGAGUGUUUCUGGGUCCCGGGAACCUGGCGAUAAGGACAUGGUGUCCUAGAGAGAGAGAGCUCUGUACUCAGAAUUUGACCACAAGGCCCCCAGUCUUGGUUCCACCCCUUCCUGGUUGGGAUCCUAUAAGCAGGUUGCUUAAAUUCUGAGCUUUAGUUUUGCCCUUUGUAAAAUGGGAAAAUAUCUCAUUGUGUUGCUAUGAGGAUCAAAUGACAUCAUACAUAGGAAGAUGCUUUGUCAACCAAAACAUACUCUACAAAUGAUUAGCCAAUUCAAGUGGUUAGUAAAAGGGCUUGCAGAGCUUAGAGCUUCGUUGGUCUGGGCCUUCCUAGCGGAUGAGUGUCUGGAGCACAGCUGGUUUUAAGAAGGCUUCUGACUCCUUCUCAAACCCCAUGGCUGGUCUGUGGCACCUGGAGGAGUUCUCUACUGAGGGUUCAUGGCCCCCAUCCUGUAUGACUCCUGCAGGGCCGCUGUGCCCACAUCUCCAGAGAGGACUCCGGCCCAAGUACCUUAGCCCAGGCUUUGGAGACCCGGAAAGAGUGGUUUCUCCGUCCUGAAACACCCUAAUAAAGUCCUUACAUGUAAUGCAUCACUCUUGAGCAAUCUGAAGGACAUCACGGUGGAUCCCAAGCAACAUGUUGAUAUCCUCACGGAGCCAAGCUCGAGGGUGAGCCCUGUUCCCCACACAGGAGUGAUCGUCUGGCAGCAGAGGCUCAGGGUGAGGACGCCAUCUUGCCCUGGUUGCAAAGGACAUUGAGGUGAGGCUGCCUCAGCCUUCACUGUCCUGGCCUUCCUUUCCACGCCAUCCGUGCCCCGACUCCACCCGUAUUAGGUAAUAUUAUCCACGUUACACAAAUGAGGAAAGUGAGGCUUCAGAGGUUUAUAACUUGGGCUCCAUCACCCGACUAGUGAGCGAGGGAGGCAAACUUCGAAUCCAGAUCUGACAGCUAGCUCCAUGCUCUCCACUGGAUCAUCCUGCCGCGGAAAGUCUACACCAGCCUGGGGAUUACAGCCUAGAACACCUCAUCUGGGCUGCUAACCUCAGAUAGACAUCAAAGAGACAUUGUCAUGGGAGAAUGGCUUUUUGAGAUCAGAGCUUCUUAUCAGCUGAAUUGUAUUUCACCCCCCUUCCCCAAAUUCAUAUGUUGAAGUCCUAAUGUGACUGAAUUUGGAGACAGGGUCUUUAAAGAGCUGAUUAAGUUAAAACGAGGUCAUCUGGGCCCUAAUCCCAUGUGACCGGUAUGCUUAUAAGAAGAGAUCAGAACACAGCCACAGGGAAGGCCAUGUGAAGACAGAGAGAAGGCAGCCAUCGGGAAAACCAAGGGGAGAGCCUUCAAAACUCCUGAAGAUACCCUUGAUCUUGGACAUCUCUCUCCAGAACUGUGAGAAAAUAAAUAUCUGUGUUUAAGCCAUCCGGUCGGUGAUGGCAGCCCUUCAGAUUAACUCAGAGCCCCUUUUAAAAAUCAUCUUUGUGGGGUGCCUGGGUGGCUCAGUCAGUUAAGCGUCCAACUUCAGCUUGGGUCAUGAACUCGCGGUUCGUGAGUUGGAGCCCC
This is a long non-coding RNA of Felis catus (domestic cat), 6344 nucleotides long. RefSeq lists it as uncharacterized. The record is from RefSeq and is a predicted model, not a curated record. The transcript has 5 exons. Lineage: Eukaryota; Metazoa; Chordata; Mammalia; Carnivora; Felidae.